Molecule: non-coding RNA, 213 nt
Organism: Peromyscus maniculatus bairdii (prairie deer mouse)
Lineage: Eukaryota; Metazoa; Chordata; Mammalia; Rodentia; Cricetidae
Source: RefSeq, a predicted model, not a curated record
CCCCAAAAUUUUCUUCUCAGGAUCCUCUAAAGAUGUCUUUGCCCCUAGAAAGCAAGAAAAAAGAGAAUAUAGAUAUGAAGCAGAUCAUCGAAUCUACACUGAGAAAAUAAGAUAAAGAAUAAUAGGAUAAAUGGGUAAAUCAUCAAAUCUACUCUAAAAAAGAAAAAGGGGAAGAUAUAAAAAUGACAAAAGGUAGAUUACUGAAUUUAUUAU